GACGAACGCUGGCGGCGUGCUUAAUACAUGCAAGUCAACUGAACUUGAGAUAGCAAUAUUUUAAGGGAGGUGGCGCACGGGUGAGUAACACGUAGGUAAUCUGCCUUUAGGUCUGACACAACCCCGAGAAAUCGGGGCUAAUUUCAGAUGAUGCAGCGGCUCGACAUCGAGACAGUUGUUAAACCUUCGGGGCCUAAAGAUGAGCCUGCGUCUGAUUAGGUAGUUGGCGGAGUAAUAGCCCACCAAGCCAUCGAUCAGUAGCUGGUCUGAGAGGAAGAUCAGCCACACUGGGACUGAGACACGGCCCAGACUCCUACGGGAGGCAGCAGUUGGGAAUCUUGGACAAUGGGGGAAACCCUGAUCCAGCCAUGCCGCGUGAGUGAUGAAGGCCUUCGGGUUGUAAAACUCUUCGUCGCACGACGAUAAUGACGGUA
Molecule: ribosomal RNA, 434 nt
Filed under: uncultured bacterium
Lineage: Bacteria
Description: bacterial SSU rRNA
Rfam family: Bacterial small subunit ribosomal RNA
Source: RNAcentral